AUGAAGAUGCGCAAGGUGCUCACUUCUGAGAUAAUUUGCCCCUCCCGCCACAAGUGGCUCCACGACAAGCGCGCCGACGAAGCUGACAACUUGAUGCGCUACAUCUACAACCUCACCGCCGGGGGGUCAUCUUCAACGUCGGGACUAGGCGCCAACGUCGAUGUCAGGCAUGUCGCGCGGCAUUACUGCGGCAACGUCAUCCGCCGGCUUGUCUUCGGCCAACGGUACUUUGGGGAGCCUCAGCCGGACGGCGGGCCGGGGCCGAUGGAGAUGGAGCACAUGGACGCUUCCUUCGCCCUCCUAGGGUUCACCUUCGCGUUCUGCGUCAGCGACUACCUCCCGUGUCUACUUGGCCUGGACCUCGACGGCCACGAGAAAAUUAUUAAGGAGGCCAACACAAAAGUGGAUAGACUGCACAACGUGGUCAUCGAAGAGCGUUGGAGGCAGUGGAACAGCGGCGAGAGGCAGGACGGGGUCCAGGACUUCCUUGACGUUCUCAUCACGCUCGCCAACGGUGAUGGCAAGCCGUUGCUCAGCAUCGAUGAGGUCAAAGCACAGUCCAAGGGCAUAAUAUUAGCGGCCAUAGAUAACCCGUCAAACGCAGUGGAGUGGGCGCUGGCGGAGAUGGUGAACAACCCAGAACUGCUGGCCAAGGCGGUGGAGGAGAUGGACCGGGUGGUCGGUCGCGAGCGACUGGUGCAAGAGUCGGACAUCAUGCAUCUCAACUAUCUCAAGGCGUGCAUACGUGAGGCAUUUCGCCUCCACCCAAUCGCUCCCUUCAACCUGCCGCACGUCGCGAUUGCCGACACCAUUGUUGCGGGCUACCGUGUGCCCAAGGGUAGCCACGUCAUCCUCAGCCGGCUGGCCCUGGGCCGGAACCCCGCCGUCUGGGAUGAACCGCUCCACUUCAAGCCAGAGCGCCAUAUGGGAGACAACAUCAAUGUGGUGCUUACCGAGAGCGAAUUGCGGUUCAUCUCCUUCAGCACCGGACGGCGGGGAUGCAUCGCGGCAUCACUAGGAACAACCAUGAGUGUCAUGCUCUUCGGCAGGCUCUUGCAUGGCUUCACCUGGACCAAACCGGCUGGGGUGUCGGCCAUCAAUCUCAGCGAAUCGAAGCACGACCUCUUCAAAGAGAAACCGCUAGUGCUACAUGCUGAGCCACGUCUUGCAGUGCACCUCUACCCUCUCAUUAUGCAUCGUUGA
Molecule: ribosomal RNA, 1203 nt
Filed under: Triticum aestivum (bread wheat)
Lineage: Eukaryota; Viridiplantae; Streptophyta; Magnoliopsida; Poales; Poaceae
Description: partial small subunit ribosomal RNA
Source: RNAcentral